Non-coding RNA from Triticum aestivum (bread wheat), 125 nucleotides. Lineage: Eukaryota; Viridiplantae; Streptophyta; Magnoliopsida; Poales; Poaceae. The record is from Rfam.
GAUAUACUCCCUCCGUCCAGAAAAGCUUGUCUCCUAAAUGGAUGUAUCUAUCAUCAAGUUAGUGCUAGAUACAUCCAUUUGAGUGUCAGCUUGGGACAAGCUUUUUCGGACGGAGGGAGUACUAC